Long non-coding RNA from Hyaena hyaena (striped hyena), 1413 nucleotides. RefSeq lists it as uncharacterized. The record is from RefSeq and is a predicted model, not a curated record. NCBI's taxonomy places the organism in Eukaryota, Metazoa, Chordata, Mammalia, Carnivora, Hyaenidae. The transcript is spliced from 6 exons.
CCUGAAACUGCCCUCAAGCAACUGAAAUGCAGCCUGAUAUGAGUAUCUAUAAAAUAAUAAGACUGCUUAGCCCUCAAAGGGAUGAGAGCAAAGUCAGCGUCUUCAUUAGUUAUUCUGAGGAAUGUAAUUUAGAGCGCUUUGUGAAGAAUCUUAUUAUAAAUUUGAAUUUUGACAAUGACAUUUUACAUCAAGAGUCAAAUUUGUUGAGAAACACCAAAUGCAGUCAUUCUAAGACUGUUACAGAAAAUUAAAUACCUUCUGCUACGAUCAAUAACAAGCAUAUGCAUAAAGAUCUGGCUGAAUGUAGAUACAGUAUCUCUAUUCUUCCCAAACUCCAUCCAAUACUGAAUUUCCUCUUGCCAUCUAUUCUGAACACUAUUAUGUUCUGGGGCUGUAAUCUGUUCCAUUGAUAAAGUCAGUGUCUCCAGCCUUUGUCACCUUCUAAAAGUCAGGGAAUGCAUCUUGAAGACAGUCUUUUCCCAUUUUACAUUUCUCCAAGGAUCAGCUCAAUUCACUAAAUUUGAAUACGAUUUUUACCACUGGAUGAGAACUCUAAGCUCCAGACAUCUGAACCAGAAAAAAAUCACCUUAAGUGAUGAAAAGCGUGGUGUGCAAAUCAACUCUCUGGGUGCCUGUGGAGAGAUUCACAUCCAGCCCCAAUAGGACACAGCUGCACUCGUGUUCAUCUCAACUGAUGGAGUGAAGAAGCCUCAUCUUUAUUCAGUGUGAAGCAGCUGCCAAGAGAAAUGGCCUUUGAGAGAGUUUUGCUGUAGGGUGAUGGAGUGCACCAUCAAGGUGAUACAUUUCAGACAUCGCCUUCCUGCGACACGAGGGAAUCACGGAGCAAAUGGAACAAAGGAAAUUACGGCCCACUGACCAGCACGGAUUCAUAACACAGGAGUGCUGCACAAAUAUGCUCUAUUCUUAUCACAGAGAAUAAGACUUUGGACAAAAAGAACAAAUGCCAAAGCACAGGAUUCCUCUGUGUCGGAACAUAUUCUACGAAACAGGGCCGUGAUGGAAAUGUGUGAUAUAUUUGGGAAACUAUUCUCUGCUCCUCACAAAUGGUUCACCUUCCCUUUUCAUCUUCAAAUUCUAAAUUUCUCCCUUUCCUCCUAUUCUAUUGAUGCAAAAGCGUUUUGUCUGACUGCUAACAAAGCCUCAGUGCUAUGCUCCAGAGGAGAUUCUCUCUGCUCUUGUCUGUCAAACAGAUGACAUAUGCUCCGUUUAACAGAACUGCUACCAAGGGGAGACACAUACUCUCCAAGAAUUACGAAGCAGUUCUCCUAGACUCAUCAAGCUUUGACCUUCUAAUAGAAGAUAGUAUUUCCUUUAAGGUGCCAUAAUAUUGAAACUGGGAAUGAAAUAUUGAGUUCUUUUACCGGGAAAAAAAAAUGCAGAAUAAAAAUAAAC